Molecule: ribosomal RNA, 511 nt
Filed under: uncultured bacterium
Lineage: Bacteria
Description: partial 16S ribosomal RNA
Source: RNAcentral
GGAGUUAGCCGGUGCUUCUUCUGUGAGUGAUGUCCUUCCUGCCGGCUAUUAACCCGCAGGCCUUCUUCCUCACUGAAAGUGCUUUACAACCCGAAGGCCUUCUUCACACACGCGGCAUGGCUGGAUCAGGGUUGCCCCCAUUGUCCAAUAUUCCCCACUGCUGCCUCCCGUAGGAGUCUGGGCCGUGUCUCAGUCCCAGUGUGGCUGAUCAUCCUCUCAGACCAGCUACGGAUCGUCGCCUUGGUGAGCCGUUACCUCACCAACCAGCUAAUCCGACAUAGGCUCAUCCGAUAGCGCGAGGCCCGAAGGUCCCCCGCUUUCCCCCGUAGGGCGUAUGCGGUAUUAGCCUGGGUUUCCCCAGGUUAUCCCCCACUACCGGGCAGAUUCCUAUGCAUUACUCACCCGUCCGCCGCUCGCCACCAGGGAGCAAGCUCCCCGUGCUGCCGCUCGACUUGCAUGUGUUAGGCCUGCCGCCAGCGUUCAAUCUGAGCCAGAGAUACAAACUCUACGA